GAAUACUACUAGCAAUAUUUAUUGUUGUUUUGCCAAGGGAAAUUUGGUACUGAUGGGUUUCAAACCAACGCUUCUGGCCGAUUCCUGUUAGUAGCAAAUUGGGCAAUCUAGCACACGAAAAAUACAUUUGGUGAAAGCAGAGGAUUGUAUUGGGGGGGAUGCAAAAAGAAAUGACUGCAAAUUCUUAAGAUAUCAGUUUGGGAUGAACCAGCAAAUAUGUCGGGAACAAUAAAAAUAUACUAUGCCGAAGCGAAGGGAAAGGUGUGAUGAGUUGGGAAGUGUAUGUGCAGGCUCCUUGGGAACAUUCCUCGGACAGCAUUCGCCAGUUCUAUUUUAUACCAGCCUCUUGGGCCUGGUAUCAAAUCCCCAAGAGCCAUUCUCUGUUCCAAAUUUACAUCUUUGCGCCUUUCCUCACCUUAGCAGCUGAGAGCUUGAGUGCCUCUCGCACUCCCAAGUCAAUGAGCACGUCUUCGGAUCCACCUACACAAAACAUAGAUUGUUAGCAUUGAGAACCGCUACCGGUUAUUCCACCGAAGAUUAAACGUACCAGGGACGAUUAAUGAGUGGGUACUGCGCGAAAUUGCCUCGAUACGAGAACCCUGCCCUGUCUUCGUGAGGCCAAGCCUAGCGGUUUCAAAACUUGUUAGAAAAGCCCAGACAACCUUUGACGGUAAAAUGGAAAAGAAAGGAAAAGAGAGACGAUAAUGGUGGCAACGUAUGGGGAAACUCCAUACCCUCCCAUAAUCUGGACACAGUUGUCCGCAACGAACUUGUUCAUCUGCCCGCCUUUCACCUUCAACAACGCUGUAACACCGCCCAACUGCCGAUUUCCAUCCUGAUAACUCAUAUGAUCCAACUCGUAAACGAUCUGCUCCGUCCACGCCUGCAGCGCCUCGACCUCCUUAGCCAUCGAGCCGAAUUUAUACCUCACGACCGGUUGGUCGAUUAGCUUCAUGUCAAAUGCCUCGCGCUUCAUAGCCCACGCCAUUGCGUCUUGCAGGCAGGUGCGAGCAUUGCGAAGGGCCUGGAACGCAAUCCACAAACGUUCGUGGUUGAAGUUGCUCAUGACGUAUCGGAAUCCUUGGCCCUCGGAGCCGAUGAGGUACUCCACGGGGACCUUGACGUCCUCGAAGAUGAUAUACGUGGUGGCGCUGAGGCCAUCAGCGCCGAUUUCGAUUUUGCGCGUCCGGAUGCCUUCGGUGCGCGGGAUCAGGAGGAAGGAAAUACCAUCCGCGCCAGGGCCACCUGUUCGGACGGCCGUCUAGCAAGAAUAGUCAGACCUGGGAUUGUUGGAAGCUGGGAUUUCUUUCCAUUGCUGUCAUUGGCCUAUAUUUUUUACCAAUUUGAAUAAGAACUUACCAUGAAAUAGUCUGAAUACAUGCCGUUGG
Molecule: small RNA, 1388 nt
Filed under: Histoplasma capsulatum var. duboisii H88
Lineage: Eukaryota; Fungi; Ascomycota; Eurotiomycetes; Onygenales; Ajellomycetaceae
Description: Histoplasma capsulatum H88 hypothetical RNA
Source: RNAcentral